UGCUUUUCAUUGUAUGUGUAUAUAUAUAUAUAUAUAUAUAUAUAUAUAUAUAUAUUUGUGUAACAAAAAAAUCUCGAUUUCGAUUAUCACGAAGAUUUAUUUUUCGUUUAACGUUUGAGGACAUAAUUUUUUUCAAUGAUUAGAUCGUUAUUGGACAAUUUCGUUGGAAAAUAUUCUUUCGUUCUGAAUACGUUCCAAAAAGUCGAUAACACAUUUUUACGAGAGUCGUGAGUGUUUCGUCUAUUAAACGCAUAACCCUUUCACUAACAGUGCAUCUCUCUCUUUCUUUUUUUUCCCUCUCUUACAUACUACGCCAUCUCUUGGCUGCGCUUUGGAGUCAGGUACGCGCCAAAACUACCUUCGGUCUUCUUCGUCUUCGAAGAUGGCUUCGUGUUUCAGAUUCUCACUGGGAAUUUUGUAAUCCGACAAAAGUUCUCUCAUUCUGACCAUUGGAGUCUUUUCUCAUUCUCUGUGAAACUAUGACGCACAAUGCGAAUAUAUAUAUAUAUACAUUUAUAUAUAUAUGUAUACAUAUAUAUAUAUAUAUAGUUAACAGUAAAUAUGUCCAAGCAUCACUUACUACGAAAGUUGAUGAGAUUUUAUCAACAAUAUGGGACUUAUUAUUAAUAAGACAUAACACUAUUCUUACUUCGUAUGAAGAUCCUACGUCGAUCCGCCAUGCCGAUGAGUCUUCUCUAGACACAAUUUAACGUUUCCUCACUCGCGAUGAGACACAUCGACAGACCCCCCUUCCGACGCGAAGGACCAGGGGCCUUAUCGAUGAAAAAUUCUUCGGAGCCCUCGCGCCUGCGCCAUUCGUGUUACGUAAUCUAACCAAGAAGACUAGAAGGAGAUCAAAGUUACUAUAGUAAUACAUGUGUCUGAAAAAUUGAGAGAUAUAUGUAUAUAUAUAAACACACAAUACAAAAGCGUAGAUAUAUAUAUAUAUAUAUAUAUAUAUAUAUAUGCGUGUGUAUUUCGGAUUCUCUUUCUCGCAUAAAUUUGUCUCUUUUGUCUGCGUACAAAGUAUUACGCGCAACUGUCUAACUUACAUGCCAAUGUAAUUUUAAACUUUAUGGAAUGUUAAAAGAAAAAAAAAAAAAAAAAAAAAAAAGUUAAUGAAAAAAAAGAGAAAGAAAAAAAAAAGAAACGAAAAAUCUACGCUUAAAAAAAAUGAAUAACACACCGAUAUCAUAAUAAUAAUUACAAUUUCAGAGUAAUGUAAUAAUCUUACCAUUUGAUUAGAAAUAUAAUAAACGUUUAAAUAGUCCCAA
This is a long non-coding RNA of Vespa crabro (European hornet), 1274 nucleotides long. RefSeq lists it as uncharacterized. The transcript has 2 exons. Lineage: Eukaryota; Metazoa; Arthropoda; Insecta; Hymenoptera; Vespidae. The record is from RefSeq and is a predicted model, not a curated record.